Molecule: ribosomal RNA, 301 nt
Filed under: uncultured bacterium
Lineage: Bacteria
Description: partial 16S ribosomal RNA
Rfam family: Bacterial small subunit ribosomal RNA
Source: RNAcentral
CAGCAGCCACGGUAAUACGAAGGGGGCUAGCGUUGCUCGGAAUCACUGGGCGUAAAGGGUGCGUAGGCGGGUCUUUAAGUCAGGGGUGAAAUCCUGGAGCUCAACUCCAGAACUGCCUUUGAUACUGAAGAUCUUGAGUUCGGGAGAGGUGAGUGGAACUGCGAGUGUAGAGGUGAAAUUCGUAGAUAUUCGCAAGAACACCAGUGGCGAAGGCGGCUCACUGGCCCGAUACUGACGCUGAGGCACGAAAGCGUGGGGAGCAAACAGGAUUAGAUACCCCCGUAGUCCCUGUCUCUUAUAA